CGGGGAGAAAGGUGGCUUUAUGCUGCCGCUAAUGGAUGAGCUCGCGUACUAUUAGCUUGUUGGUGAGGUAAAGGCUCACCAAGGCUUUGAUGGUUAACCGGCCUGAUAGGGUGUACGGUCACAUUGGGACUGAGAUACGGUCCAGACUCCUACGGGAGGCAGCAUUGAGGAAUAUUGCGCAAUGGACGAAAGUCUGACGCGAGCGACGCCGCGUGGGGGAUGAAGGCUUUCGGGUCGUACACUCCUGUUAAGCUGGAAGAAAGCUUGCUUUCUAAUUCAAAGCAAGUAUGACGGUACCGCUAGAGAAAGCACCGGCUAACUUCGUGCCAGCAGUCGCGGUAAUACCAGGGGUGCUACCGUUAUUCGGAAUAAGUGGGCGUAAAGGGUGUGUACACGGUACAUUAAGCUUGUUGUUAAACCCUCCGGCCUAACCGGAGAUCAGCAAUGAGAACUGAUGCACUAGAGGAUGGAAGAGAGAAGUGGAAUUCCCGGAGUAGCGGUAAAAUGCGUAGAUCUCGGGAGGAACACCGAUGGCGAAGGCAGCUUCUUGGUCCAUUCCUGACGUUGAGACACGAAAGCGUGGGGAGCAAACAGGAUUAGAUACCCUGGUAGUCCACGCCGUAAACGCUGAUCACUGGAUGUUGGCUUAGCUCUGCUAAGUCAGUAUCGAAGCUAACGCGUUAAGUGAUCCGCCUGGGGAGUACGGUCGCAAGAUUAAAACUCAAAGGAAUUGACGGGGGUCCGCACAAGCGGUGGAACAUGUGGUUUAAUUCGUCGCUACGCGAGGAACCUUACCUGGGCUUGACAUGUAUUUGACAGCUGUAGAAAUACAGUCUUCUAGAUUUCGGUUUAGACAGAUACACAGGUGCUGCAUGGUUGUCGUCAGCUCGUGUCGUGAGAUGUUGGGUUAAGUCCUCUAACGAGCGCAACCCUUGUCAUCAGUUGCCACUGCCUUCGGGUAAAGCACUCUGAUGAGACUGCCUGGGAAACCAGGAGGAAGGUGGGGAUGACGUCAAAUCAUCAUGGUCCUUAUGUCCAGGGCUACACACGUGUUACAAUGGUCGGUACAAAGGGUUGCGAUACCGCGAGGUGGAGCUAAUCCCAUAAAGCCGAUCUAAGUUCGGAUUGAGGUCUGCAACUCGACCUCAUGAAGUUGAAAUCGCUAGUAAUCGCGUAUCAGCAACGACGCGGUGAUACGUUCUCGGACCUUGUACACACCGCCCGUCACACCACGAAAGUUGUCUGUACCCAAAGUUAUCUUAGCCAACCUGCAAAGGAGGCGGAUACCUAAG
Molecule: ribosomal RNA, 1292 nt
Filed under: uncultured organism
Description: bacterial SSU rRNA
Rfam family: Bacterial small subunit ribosomal RNA
Source: RNAcentral